This 1574-nucleotide unclassified non-coding RNA is filed under the name Lytechinus variegatus (green sea urchin). RNAcentral describes it as "aDP-ribosylation factor GTPase-activating protein 2- like, transcript variant X1". The record is from RNAcentral. Lineage: Eukaryota; Metazoa; Echinodermata; Echinoidea; Temnopleuroida; Toxopneustidae.
AUCAUUAUAUUACACGACGACUGCUGGAAUACUACGGAGAAAUGGAAGGUGGUCCCACAAAAUCCGAUAUUCAGAUGAUUUUCAAGCGUCUACGUUCGAUUCCUACGAAUAAAAUAUGCUUUGACUGUAAUAGUAAAAACCCAACCUGGGCUAGUGUCACGUAUGGUGUAUUCCUCUGUAUAGACUGUUCAGCCACCCACAGAUCACUUGGUGUUCAUUUAACAUUUAUCAGAUCAACUCAAUUAGAUACGUCAUGGACAUGGCCUCAAUUGCGUGCAAUGCAAGUUGGAGGAAAUGCAAAUGCAGUCGCUUACUUCAGACAGCAUGGAGCUUCGACCAAUGACGCUCAAGCUAAGUACAACAGCAGAGCAGCCACGCUCUACAAGUCAAAGAUCAAGGAACUCGUAGCAGCCGCCAUUAGAAAAUAUGGCAAAGAGCUUCAUCUGGAGGACUUUGUUCAGUCGCCCCAGCAGAAGGAAGUAGAUUUCUUUGAGGAGCAUGCCGAUGAAGCGCCCUCUAACAUCACGCCCAUCCCUGCAGGUACAAGCAAUGGACGGUUAUCAAGCAAUCCAGAACCGCUCAAAGUUCCUGCACCAUCAGCCUCUCCAAAACCAGCCCCCGAAGAAUCAGUAGGUGCACCUAACGUUGAAGCUGCUCUCAGUACGUCGCCCUCUCAGGUCAAAGUAGAACCAAGGAAACCCACUAUAGGACAGAGGAAACCUGCAAGCGCAAAGAAAGGGCUUGGUGUGAGAAAAGGCAAAGGUCUCGGAGCUCAGAAGGUCAAAGCAAACUUUGAUGAUAUAGAAUCUCAGGCUCAGCAACAGGAUAAGAUGAGGGAAGAGAACGCCAAGAUGGCAGAGCUUCAGAAAGCCAAGACGAAAGAAGAGGAAGAAGCCAGGAUGGCAUCCAUGCGUCUUGCCUACAAGGACAUGUCAGUCGAGAUGAAGAAACAGGAGGAGAAAUUGAAGAAAGAAAAUCCAAACAAAGCCAAACAGAUGGAACGCCUUGGAAUGGGUUAUACUGGAAGAGGUGGAGUAUCACAUUCAGCCAUGAACGAUAUGCAGACCAUUGAACAGGUCAACCCGGUCAAAUCAGGCAGUGGAAGCAGUCGGUCAAGAUCCAGGGAUUUCUUUGAUGAUUAUGACACCGGCUUUUCACGUAGUUCAUCUUCCUCAUCGAGAGGUUUCAAGGAUUCCAGCACCGCCUCAUUCUGGGAUGACAAAGACGAUCAGAAAACAGAUUCCAGCUGGGAUAUUAUCGACAAGAGUGAGACGAGACAAAGCAGUUAUGAUAGUAUCGCCCCUUUAGAAUCAAGCAUGAGAGCCAGUCUGGCCGGUUCUCAAACUCGCAAUCCAUAUCAAGCGACGACUUCUUCGGGAGGUCAGCGACGAGGGGGCCCUCCGGGGCUGAUCUGGGGGCCAUAAAGGACGGCAUGAAGGACGGCGUCAAUCAGGUCGCCGGCAAGCUGUCCCGUAUGGCCAACGGGCUCGUCAACUCUAUACAGGAUCAUUAUGGAUAUUGAUAACAACAUGUCUAGUGUAGUAUACCCUCAUCCAAGUGUCUUUAUGCUCCAA